RNAcentral lists this unclassified non-coding RNA (342 nucleotides) under soil metagenome. RNAcentral describes it as "partial contains 5.8S ribosomal RNA, internal transcribed spacer 2, and large subunit ribosomal RNA". The stretch from base 1 to 120 matches the Rfam family "5.8S ribosomal RNA", at positions 35 to 154 of the family's 154-position model. The record is from RNAcentral.
GAUGAAGAACGCAGCGAAAUGCGAUAAGUAGUGUGAAUUGCAGAAUUCAGUGAAUCAUCGAAUCUUUGAACGCACAUUGCGCCCUUUGGUAUUCCAAAGGGCAUGCCUGUUCGAGCGUCAUUUGUACCCUCAAGCUUUGCUUGGUGCUGGGCGUCUUGUCUCUAGCUUUGCUGGAGACUCGCCUUAAAGUAAUUGGCAGCCGGCCUACUGGUUUCGGAGCGCAGCACAAGUCGCACUCUCUAUCAGCAAAGGUCUAGCAUCCAUUAAGCCUUUUUUUUCAACUUUUGACCUCGGAUCAGGUAGGGAUACCCGCUGAACUUAAGCAUAUCAAUAAGCGGAGGA